Molecule: ribosomal RNA, 497 nt
Filed under: uncultured bacterium
Lineage: Bacteria
Description: partial 16S ribosomal RNA
Rfam family: Bacterial small subunit ribosomal RNA
Source: RNAcentral
GAUGAACGCUGGCGGCGUGCCUAAUACAUGCAAGUCGAGCGAACAGACGAGGAGCUUGCUCCUCUGACGUUAGCGGCGGACGGGUGAGUAACACGUGGAUAACCUACCUAUAAGACUGGGAUAACUUCGGGAAACCGGAGCUAAUACCGGAUAAUAUAUUGAACCGCAUGGUUCAAUAGUGAAAGACGGUUUUGCUGUCACUUAUAGAUGGAUCCGCGCCGCAUUAGCUAGUUGGUAAGGUAACGGCUUACCAAGGCAACGAUGCGUAGCCGACCUGAGAGGGGGAUAGGCCACACUGGAACUGAGACACGGUCCAGACGCCUACGGGAGGGAGCAGUAGGGAAUCUUCCGCAAUGGGCGAAAGCCUGACGGAGCAACGCCGCGUGAGUGAUGAAGGUCUUCGGAUCGUAAAACUCUGUUAUUAGGGAAGAACAAAUGUGUAAGUAACUAUGCACGUCUUGACGGUACCUAAUCAGAAAGCCACGGCUAACUACGUG